This 1944-nucleotide ribosomal RNA is filed under the name Triticum aestivum (bread wheat). RNAcentral describes it as "partial small subunit ribosomal RNA". The record is from RNAcentral. Lineage: Eukaryota; Viridiplantae; Streptophyta; Magnoliopsida; Poales; Poaceae.
AUGACAAAAACAAAAUUUUCGGCAAAGCCCAUUGAGCUUCUUCUUCAUCAUUCCAAAUGCCCAAACAGCAACCGGGCCAACCCUAGCAGGCUAAACCCUCAUUUUCAGUUCCAACGCUCCUCCUCCUGCGCCGCCGCCGCCACCACCACCACCACCAUGCUCCGCACCGUCCUCAACUCCGGCGGCGGUCGUCUAUGCCGCCUCCCCUCCCUCCUCCCCCACCAUCGCCUCAUGUCCGGCUCCUCCGUCGCUGCCAUAUUCUUCCAACCGUCCCUGCCGGCGGAUCCCGCCACCGCGAUCCAGUCAGCCGGCAUCGACCUCUCACACCCCAACACCAUCCCCGCCCUCCUUGUCCACCCGGACCUCGCCUCCAACUACCCUGCCGCCUCCCGCUUCUUCUCCUGGGCCGCAUCCCACGACGCCGCCGUCCUCAACUCCAAGUGCUUCAACUCCAUGCUCCAGCUCGCCGCCGCCAACAGCGACGCCGCCCAUUUCUGGUCACUCGUCUCCUCGAUGCGUUCCAGGGGCUACGGCAUCUCGAAGACCACCCUCCAGGCCGCCACGGAGAGCUUCCGGUCCAAUGGCAUGUCCAAGGACGCCGACAUGAUCCAGAAGGCCUUCUCCGCGCACUCCAGGAACGCAGCGGUGGCGGAGGCGUGCAAGAUUCUCCGCUCAGAUGCCGAUGAGUUAUCUAAGCUGGACAAGCUGAAUCAAUUGGGCGUUGAGGUGAGUGAUGAGAUGGUGGCACUGGUUGUGGAGAAGAUUGGGCAGUUUCCGCGACAGGCAAUGGUGUUCUUUAAUUGGGUGGAGCAGUCAGCUGGGGCAGGGAUCAACUGGGGCAAGGUUUACAAUGCAAUGGCAAAGAUCAUUGGCCGGGAGGAUUCUAUUGAGGAGUUCCGAGAGGUCCUGCGGAAGAUGAGCAGUAAGGAGGUUGGGCUGGAUAAGGAGGUGUACGUUAUUCUCAUCGAUAGGUUUCUCAAGAGGAAGAUGUUUGAGGAUGCAGUAGACUUGUUCCGGUUUGCAAUGGGUGGGACGGAGAAGCCAUCGGCUCAGGAUUUUGUGUUCUUAUUGAAGAAGCUUGUUGUGAGGGAUGAUAUGGAUCUGAAGCUGGUGAUGAGGGUUGUGCGGAUCUAUCAGAAGGCUGGGAAUGAGGUGAAGUCUUCCGUGUUUGAUGCUGUUAUCAAGUCGCUGAGAAGCGUAGAAAGGCUUGGUGAGAGUGGCAGGGUGUUGAAGGCCAUGGAGCACGGUGGUUUUGCACCAGACAGCACUGUACAUGGAAAAGCUGUUCUUGCAAUGUGUGAUGCUGGGAAUCUGGAAACAGCGCACAAACAUUUGGCUCGUGUGGAAAAAUCAGGGCAUAAGUUGGAUCCACCUGUAUGGUCUGCUUUGGUUCAGAAGUAUUCCCUUGGUGAUGAUGUUGAUAUGGCAGUUUCAUGCUUCCCCGAAAUGCUGGAAAGAAGAAGUGGCAAUCAGGUUGGUAGCGCUCUUGAGGUGCUUGUGUAUGGGCUGUGCAGGAAGAAAGAAGCAAAGGAAGCGUUCAAAGUUCUGAAGGACCUGGUGUUGGAAAAGGAUGUGGUUCCUUGGCAAAGUACCUACAAGUAUUUGAUCCACAAGUUGAUCCGCCAAGGGCAUCUUAAAGAAGCAUUUGAUGUGCUAGGUUUAAUGAAAAGUAAUGGAUUUCCGCCUUAUAUCAAUCCAUUUAUCACACACAUUUUGAAAUCUGGUACUGUGGACGAUGCCCUGGGUCUGCUAAACGCAAUGUCUUCAGAGGAGUUCCCAUCAAGAACAGUUUACAUGCGCUUGUUUCAAGGUCUGUUCAAAGAGGGGAGGCAUGAAAUUGCCCGGCAGCUGCUCUCGGUAUCUCCUGGAAGUGUCCAAAACCACGCAGAUGUUCUCGACCUCUUCUAUAAGAUGAAGAUUGAAGAACCUACAGCAGCGUUGUAG